UGCAGUCGAGCGGGGGAGGUAGAUUGCUACUGGACCUAACGGGGACGGGUGAGUAAUGCUUAGGAAUCUGCCUAUUAGAGGGGGACAACUUCUCGAAGGGGAUGCUAAUACCGCAUACGUCCUACGGGAGAAAGCAGGGGAUCUUCGGACCUUGCGCUAGUAGAUGAACCUAACCCGGAUUAACUAGUUGGUGGGGUAAAGGCCUACCCAGGCGACGAUCUGUACCGGGUCUGAGAGGAUGAUCCGCCACACUGGGACUGAGACACAGCCCAGACUCCUACGGGAGGCAGCAGUGGGGAAUAUUGGACAAUGGGGGGAACCCUGAUCCAGCCAUGCCGCGUGUGUGAAGAAGGCCUUAUGGUUGUAAGGCACUUUAAGCGAGGAGGAGGCUACUCUAGUUAAUACCUAGAGAUAGUGGACGUUACUCGCAGAAUAAGAACCGGCUAACUCUGUGCCAGCAGCCGCGGUAAUACAGAGGGUGCGAGCGUUAAUCGGAUUUACUGGGCGUAAAGCGUGCGUACGCGGCUUAUUAAGUCGGAUGUGAAAUCCCCGAGCUUAACUUGUGAAUUGCAUUCGAUACUGUGGAGCUAUAGUAUGUGAGAGAGUGGUAGAAUUACUACGUGUGUCGCGGAGAUGCGUAGAGAUCUGUGGGGAGUACCCGCUGUGGAAAAGCAGGCCAUCUGUGCUAAAUACUG
This 695-nucleotide ribosomal RNA is filed under the name Acinetobacter baumannii. RNAcentral's name for it is "bacterial SSU rRNA". It matches the Rfam family "Bacterial small subunit ribosomal RNA", at positions 56 to 742 of the family's 1533-position model. The record is from RNAcentral. Lineage: Bacteria; Pseudomonadati; Pseudomonadota; Gammaproteobacteria; Moraxellales; Moraxellaceae.